CUCCUUUGAGCAUGACGUUAUUCGUCCUGUCGGGCGUCCUCACAAAUUACCUGCAUUCAGAGAUUCAUACCGGCACAGGUCGGUAUGCGAAGUCCCUUUUGGGGCCUUAGCUCAGCUGGGAGAGCACCUGCUUUGCAAGCAGGGGGUCGUCGGUUCGAUCCCGACAGGCUCCACCAUAUUGAGUGAAAAGACUUCGGGUCUGUAGCUCAGGUGGUUAGAGCGCACCCCUGAUAAGGGUGAGGUCGGUAGUUCGAGUCUACCCAGACCCACCACUCUGAAUGUAGUGCACACUUAAGAAUUUAUAUGGAUCAGCGUUGAGGCUGAGACAUGUUCUUUUAUAACUUGUGACGUAGCGAGCGUUUGAGAUAUCUAUCUAAACGUGUCGUUGAGGCUAAGGCGGGGACUUCGAGUCCCUAAAUAAUUGAGUCGUAUGUUCGCGUUGGUGGCUUUGUACCCCACACAACACGGCAUGUAGCUCCGAGGCAACUUGGGGUUAUAUGGUCAAGCGAAUAAGCGCACACGGGAA
RNAcentral lists this transfer RNA (526 nucleotides) under Xanthomonas campestris pv. campestris. Its description in RNAcentral is "partial contains 16S ribosomal RNA, 16S-23S ribosomal RNA intergenic spacer, and 23S ribosomal RNA". The stretch from base 196 to 269 matches the Rfam family "tRNA". The record is from RNAcentral. Lineage: Bacteria; Pseudomonadati; Pseudomonadota; Gammaproteobacteria; Lysobacterales; Lysobacteraceae.